AUGCACACACCUUCCUCAAGCCGGCCUCUGAGUGGGGGAGGCUUGGGGCAUUCGGAUCGUCUGUUCAGGGAGCAGAAUCAGCUUCUCGAGCCGCAGCGAGAGUCGAGAGUCGCCACACACGGGAAGAUCAGAUGCCUCUCGAGGUGCUCGGGACCUGGGAGUCCCAGAUGCAGGGCGGCGUGUCCACUAACCAGCUGGAGUGGAUACAGCGUGGCAAUGUCACUACACUCUCCCACAUCCCGGAGCGCAAGAGCUGCGUGUCAGCCCCGCCGGAGGCCCACAGCGAGGAAACGCUCCGAGCCGCCGUUUUUUCUGGGCGUGUGCGCAGCCCAGCAAACUGUUUUCUAAAGGCUUUGAUCUCACAAGUGGUCAAGUUGGCAUUUUUUGAGCCUUCAGCUUCUCCCUUCGAGGGCGGGCGUCACGGUGGCAGUCCCAGGUGUGCCCGCUAGAUGGCGCCGGGAAACCAGGUUGUGGUCACAGGUGCGCGCCCUUCGCCCCUCCUCCACAGGGCUUGACCUGGCCCCUUCCCGGCCCCUUCCUGCCAGUUCCCCGGGUGUGGG
Molecule: long non-coding RNA, 560 nt
Filed under: Heterocephalus glaber (naked mole-rat)
Lineage: Eukaryota; Metazoa; Chordata; Mammalia; Rodentia; Bathyergidae
Description: lncRNA (ENSHGLG00000030102.2)
Source: RNAcentral